AAUACAUAAAAUAACAAAGAUGGUGCUUGAUUUGGUAAAUAAGUGGGUGAUCAUAGUGCUGGUGAGUAGAUGAUCAUAGUGCUUGGUGAGUAGAUGAUCAUAGUGCUUGAGUUGGUAAAGUAGUGGAUGAUCAUCUCAAUGUUUAUCUUACAACACUCCCCCUUGAUCAUCCAUCUUGUAUUAAAUUAAGUUUCGUAAC
RNAcentral lists this long non-coding RNA (199 nucleotides) under Brassica napus (rape). RNAcentral describes it as "long non-coding RNA (BNAP_LNC012968)". Lineage: Eukaryota; Viridiplantae; Streptophyta; Magnoliopsida; Brassicales; Brassicaceae. The record is from RNAcentral.